UACGUAGGGUGCAGGCGUUAAUCGGAAUUACUGGGCGUAAAGCGUGCGCAGGCGGUGAUGUAAGACAGAUGUGAAAGCCCCGGGCUUAGCCUGGGAAUGGCAUUUGGGACUGCAAGGCUGGAGUUUGGCAGAGGAGACUGGAAUUCCUGGUGUAGCAGUGAAAUGCGUAGAUAUCAGGAGGAAUACCGAUGGCGAAGGCAGGUCUCUGGGCUAUAACUGACGCUCAUGCACGAAAGCGUGGGGAGCAAACAGG
RNAcentral lists this ribosomal RNA (253 nucleotides) under uncultured bacterium. RNAcentral describes it as "partial 16S ribosomal RNA". It matches the Rfam family "Bacterial small subunit ribosomal RNA", at positions 524 to 776 of the family's 1533-position model. The record is from RNAcentral.